RNAcentral lists this ribosomal RNA (274 nucleotides) under uncultured bacterium. RNAcentral describes it as "partial 16S ribosomal RNA". It matches the Rfam family "Bacterial small subunit ribosomal RNA", at positions 523 to 796 of the family's 1533-position model. The record is from RNAcentral.
CUACGGAGGGGGUAAGCGUUGUUCGGAAUUACUGGGCGUAAAGAGUACGUAGGCGGAUCGUUAAGUUAGAGGUGAAAUCCCAGGGCUCAACCCUGGAACUGCCUUUAAUACUGGCGAUCUAGAGAUCGAGAGAGGUGAGUGGAAUUUCCAGUGUAGAGGUGAAAUUCGUAGAUAUUGGAAAGAACACCAGUGGCGAAGGCGGCUCACUGGCUCGAUACUGACGCUGAGGUACGAAAGCGUGGGGAGCAAACAGGAUUAGAAACCCCAGUAGUCC